GUCAGGAUGGCCGAGCGGUCUAAGGCGCGCAUUAAGGUCGCAGUCUCCUCUGGAGGCGUGGGUUCAAAUUCCACUUCUGACA
RNAcentral lists this transfer RNA (82 nucleotides) under Ameiurus melas (black bullhead). It matches the Rfam family "tRNA". Rfam says of the family: Transfer RNA (tRNA) molecules are approximately 80 nucleotides in length. Their secondary structure includes four short double-helical elements and three loops (D, anti-codon, and T loops). The record is from Rfam by way of RNAcentral. Lineage: Eukaryota; Metazoa; Chordata; Actinopteri; Siluriformes; Ictaluridae.